GGUGAGAUGGCCGAGCGGUCUAAGGCGCCAGACUAAGGUGUUAUCUGGUCUCUUCGGGGGCGGGAGUUCAAAUCUCCCUCUCAUCA
Transfer RNA from Termitomyces sp. J132, 86 nucleotides. It matches the Rfam family "tRNA". From Rfam's summary of the family: Transfer RNA (tRNA) molecules are approximately 80 nucleotides in length. Their secondary structure includes four short double-helical elements and three loops (D, anti-codon, and T loops). Further hydrogen bonds mediate the characteristic L-shaped molecular structure. tRNAs have two regions of fundamental functional importance: the anti-codon, which is responsible for specific mRNA codon recognition, and the 3' end, to which the tRNAs corresponding amino acid is attached (by aminoacyl-tRNA synthetases). tRNAs cope with the degeneracy of the genetic code in two manners: having more than one tRNA (with a specific anti-codon) for a particular amino acid; and 'wobble' base-pairing, i.e. permitting non-standard base-pairing at the 3rd anti-codon position. Lineage: Eukaryota; Fungi; Basidiomycota; Agaricomycetes; Agaricales; Lyophyllaceae. The record is from Rfam.